Molecule: long non-coding RNA, 1294 nt
Organism: Diabrotica virgifera virgifera (western corn rootworm)
Lineage: Eukaryota; Metazoa; Arthropoda; Insecta; Coleoptera; Chrysomelidae
Exons: 2
Source: RefSeq, a predicted model, not a curated record
UUAUAAAAAAACCUAAAUUAUACUUAAAUAAGUUAAUAAAGUUUUAGUUCUUGAUUUAGUAGAUUUUAGCCAAACAUGCAAUAUAUUUCCUAAAUAAAAUAUGGCAACGUUGUCUUGUAUUGAAUUAAGUGCGUCAUUUUGUAAUUUUUGUGUUGUGUAUGCGUUUUAUAUCAAUUUUAUAUUUGUGUAUUAAGUUUUUAUCCCGUACCCAAGUGAUUAGUGAAGUGAAUGUUUCAAAUUUUAGUUACUAAUAGACAUUUUUUCAGUGUAUAAAUUAUUUUUCUUCCCUCAGCUGUACCUAGUUGUUUCAAGGUAAUGUGAAUAAUUCCUAAGGUAGAAAGACAUUUUACAUUAUGUUAUGAAAACAAUGAAUUCAUGUCAAGAUUUAUAUAAAUAAUAAUUAUUACUGUCAUUUGUUGGUUUCAUUAUUGUUCUUACAUUGUCCAUACAUACAUACUUAUCAUUUUUUAAAUAUAAUCGCUGCUCAUGCUAAAUUCUAUGCUUGUGCAUGUUAUUAAUUUUUUGUUUUUGCAAUAAUUAUUUUUAUUUUUAUGGUUUCUGUAAUAAAAAUAUUUUAUUGCAAAAACUAAAAAUUAAUAACGUGCACAUUAUAGAAUUUGGUAUGCCUAGCGAAGCUUCCAAAACGGUACAGAUAUCUUCCAAAACGUUACAGAGAUCUUCCAAAUCGUUACAGAAAUCUUCCAAUUUAAAACGCUUAGUUGGCUUCCAAAAAUAUCGAUGGUGUUGGAAUACGGGACCAGUUCUGCCUAUAGAGUUCCCUUUCUACCCCACCCACUCUUCUAUGGAAUAAGUCUUCUUAACAGACCUUAAGCUGCGACAGAAACAUCCUGUAUCCUGUUAUGGCUGUUACUCAUCUCAUACUAAUGGCACCAGUGGCGCACCCAGGGGGUGGUUUGGGUGUUAAAACCCCUCCCACCGGCCACCAGUACAUACAAAGAAUAGUAGGAAAAUACAAAUCGGAGAUCCAAAAGUUUUUUUGAUCCAAAAUUGAGUGAUUUGAAAUGGAACCACCCGUAAUUAUAUGGUAUAAGUUCUUGGCUUGUGGCAGGUGUCGUCCAUUGACGAUUGACGACUCUCUGGAAUUGACCUAGCAGCUUGGUCUUCUGGCCAGUCUCUUUAGGCUUAGGAGUCUGUCAAUCACUGGAGGGUUUUGAAUUUUAAACUUUAUCGCAGAGUAAAUGUUGAAAAAUACUUUUUAUUGUACCUAUUAUAUUAUAUAAACAAUGAAAUAUUAUUCUGGUCCAGAUAAUAAAAAUAUUAUUUAUAACAAUUA